AGCAAUCUUAUCACACUUGCUAUAUAUGCGCCUAUUUAAAGAACUAGGAAUGGUAACCUGAAAUCAAUCACCUCUAUAUAUUCAUUCUAACAAAAACACACAAAAUGAAGCAGCAACAACACUAUGCUGCUAUAUCUUUCAUACAAGCAACCCUUUCCUUAUUGCUUGUUGUAGUUACAAUGCAGCAACUCAUAACAACUAAUGCCCUCGAUAGCACUGAUUAUCGAGGGAACGAAACAGACCAUACAUCAUUGUUGGCAAUCAAGAGCCAGCUUAUCAAUGGAGCUUUGAGCUCUUGGAAUCACUCACUUCACCAUUGUUUUUGGGAUGGUGUUACUUGUGGUCUCAAACAUAAAAGAGUGGUUGAGUUAAAUUUACAAGAAAGAGAUUUAGUAGGAACUAUAUCUCCCUUCAUUGGAAACCUUAGCUUCCUAAGAAUUAUUAGUCUUUACAAUAAUAGCCUGAAAGGCCCAAUCCCCCCUGAGAUCGGUCGUUUAUUCAGACUACAAAAACUCUCUCUCUUCCGCAAUAGUUUAACUGGUGAAAUCCCGGCUAACUUAUCUGGUUGUAUCAACCUUCGAGCUCUUUCUGUAGGGUACAACAAGUUAGAAGGGAAACUUCCAAUGGAAUUAAAAGCAUUGUCUCAUCUAAAUUUGCUUGGUGUACACUACAAUAAUUUUAGCGGACCUAUAUUUGAAGUCAUAGAAAGCAUGUCAUCCUUGGAAAUCAUAUCGUGCUCUAGCAAUGCCUUUACCGGAACCAUUCCUGGUAGCGUUUAUAAGAUGAGAAAUCUCACUUAUUUGAACCUUCAAUCAAACAAAAUGUCAGGUAUAAUUCCUUCAUCCAUCUCUAACCUUUCCUAUCUUCAAAAUUUACUUUUGUUUGAUAACCAACUCUCGGGUAUGAUUCCUCCAUCCAUCUUCAACCUCUCUUUCCUUGAAGGAUUAGACUUGUCUUAUAACCAACUAGAGGGUAGUAUUCCACCAAAUAUAGCCUCCACUCUUCCUCGAUUAAAGUUCUUACGCCUUAACGAUAACAAUAUAUAAUUUGUCAGGACCAUUACCAAUCUCCUUAUCGAACCUUACAAGUCUUGAAGACAUUGAGUUAGGCAUGAACAACUUUGUGGGAAACAUGCCAAGUCAUUUAGGACAACUCCAUAACCUACGACAUCUAAUCCUUGAUCAUAAUAAUAUCGUAGGUGACAUAAGUUUUAUCAAUACACUAGUUAAUUGUAGUAAGUUGGAAGUCUUGGACUUGAAAGGAAAUAGGUUUACAGGAACCUUACCAAAAGCUAUUGCCAAUCUUUCUACCAAAUUAACUUUCCUUGCCAUUGGGGAAAAUCCCAUUAGUGGAAGAAUUCCUAGGGAAAUUAGUAAUCUCAUGAACCUAGACAAUCUAUGGAUGGAAGCAAACGGAAUCACUGGAACGAUUCCUUGGGAUCUUGGAAAGCUUCGAAAGCUAGAAAAGAUUGAGGAGACCUAUGCUGCCCUCCUCUGGACUUGUUAAGUGGGCUCUCUCUUGAUGACGGGUGCGGCCCAGACCCGUGUUUGACAUGGUAUCAGAGCCAACGUGACGCAAAGGUCACGGGUUCGAAUCUCAUCCACCCCUCUUUUCAAAGUGGAAUAUUUCGCGCUAGGUAUGAGGAGACCUAUGCUGCAUCCACACUUCAAGCCCAAAGGGCUUUCAUGUGAGGGGGCGUGAUAGAGUAUAAAACUAAUAUUGAGGUUUCAACCAUAAGCUUAAGCUUUUGGUUGAGUUGGUCCUUUGACACUAGUCCUCAACUCCAAUAGACUCAAUGGUGAAAUUCCUGAUUCCUUCGGAAAUUUAUCGCGUUUGAGCAAACUUUAUCUAAAUGAUAACGAGUUGCAUGGAAGAAUACCUCUGAGCCUUGGUAAUUGUGUAAACUUGCUAUACUUGGAUUUAUCCUCGAAUAAAUUCACAGGAUCCUUGUACAACAAGCUUUUUACGGAAACUAACUUUGUUGAAUUAAAUGUGAGUCAAAACCAUUUAGAAGGGUCUAUCCCUAUGGAGAUUAGCAACCAAGUAAGUUUGGUAAAACUUGAUGUGUCGAGUAAUAAAUUUUCGGGGGAAAUUCCUGAUGUCUUUAACAACUUACCUACUCUUCAAAAAUUGUACAUGGCACAUAAUUUCUUCCAUGGUCUGAUUCCUCAAUCAUUCGCCUCUUUGAAAAGCCUUUUAGAAGUUGAUCUUUCUCAUAACCGUCUUUCUGGUCCCGUUCCAAGAUACUUAUCUUCAUUUCCCUUGAUAUACCUAAACUUAUCUUACAAUAAUUUUGAGGGAGAAGUUCCAACAAAAGGAAUUUUUGCAAAUGCGAGUGCAAUAUCUCUUGUUGGAAAUAACAGGCUUUGUGGAGGAAUUUCCGAGCUACAUCUCCCAAGAUGCGUGAAGAAAGCACCAAAGAAAACACGAAUGUAUUACACUCUCAAGCUGGUAAUCUUCAUAAUUUCUACAAUCAUAGGGAUAUUGGCAACGGGUUCGUGCAUAUGGUUGUUCUUGACACGUCAUUACAAGAAAAGAGAACCAGUUUCUUUAGACGCAAUAGGGAAGGAGUCAUUCUCGAAAGUAUCCUACCACAUGCUACUCAAAGCAACUAAUGGGUUUUCUAUGGGAAAUCUACUUGGUUCAGGUACUUUUGGGUCUGUGUUUCAAGGAAAUUUGGAUGGAAAAACAGUUGCUGUAAAAGUACUCAACUUGCAACAACGAGGUGGAAAUAAGAGUUUCAUGGCAGAGUGUGAGGCAAUGAGGAACAUUCGUCACCGUAAUCUGGUUGGAAUCAUAACAGCUCAGCUUGCUCAAGUAUGGAUUUCCAAAGAAAAGAUUUCAAAGCUCUUGUGUAUGAGUUCAUGCCCAAUGGAAGUCUUGAUAGAUGGUUACACCAAGAUGGAAACCUAAGCCUUCUUCAAAGGGUUGAUUUAGCCAUUGAUGUAGCUCAUGCACUCAACUAUCUCCACCAUGAAUGCGGAAACUCGAUUGUGCAUUGUGACUUAAAACCAAACAACAUAUUGCUUCAUCAUGACAUGGUUGCGCGUGUUUCAGAUUUUGGGUUAGCGAAAGUUCUUGCUCGACCAUUACAUCCAAAUCAAAGCAGCUCAGUAGCAGUAAGAGGAACCAUUGGCUAUGUUGCCCCAGAGUAUGGCUUAGGAGCUGAAGCAUCCCCGAAGGCUGAUAUAUACAGUUACGGAAUCUUAUUAUUGGAGCUUAUGACAAGCAAGAGACCAACUGACAAUAUGUUCAUGGAAGAGAACCUCCAUAUGUAUUCAAAGGACGCAUUGCACGAUCGAGUGUUGAAAAUUGUAGACUCGACACUUUUAGAGCAUGAAAACGAAGAAGUGGAAAGUAGUGAAAUAAAAACUCAAGUGGUGCUUCAAAAUCGAGAAGAGUGCAUAACGCUUGUAGUGAAGAUUGGAGUGGCAUGUUCAAAUCAAUUGCCAUGUGAUCGGAUGAAAAUAAGUGAUGUCAUAAUAGAACUACAAGAAGCUAGGAAGAUCCUUCUCAUUUCGAAACAAAGACAAACAUUUUCAACAAUUACACAAAUGUAAUAAAUGCCAAAUUUACUUUGUUUUGUUGGUGUUUUGUUUGUGCAAAAUUGUAUUGUUGUUAGUCCAUUAAGUAAUUUCUCAUCUUGUACGAUAUUGAAGUAAUUUUUUAUAUAAAAAUUAUAUACUUAAGAAA
Molecule: RNA transcript, 3693 nt
Organism: Spinacia oleracea (spinach)
Lineage: Eukaryota; Viridiplantae; Streptophyta; Magnoliopsida; Caryophyllales; Amaranthaceae
Gene name: probable LRR receptor-like serine/threonine-protein kinase At3g47570
Exons: 2
Source: RefSeq, a predicted model, not a curated record